UGAACGCUGGCGGUAGGCCUACCACAUGCAAGUCGAACGGCAGCACAGUAAGAGCUUGCUCUUACGGGUGGCGAGUGGCGGACGGGUGAGGAAUACAUCGGAAUCUACUUUUUCGUGGGGGAUAACGUAGGGAAACUUACGCUAAUACCGCAUACGACCUACGGGUGAAAGCAGGGGAUCUUCGGACCUUGCGCGAUUGAAUGAGCCGAUGUCGGAUUAGCUAGUUGGCGGGGUAAAGGCCCACCAAGGCGACGAUCCGUAGCUAGUCUGAGAGGAUGAUCAGCCACACUGGAACUGAGACACGGUACAGACUCCUACGGGAGGCAGCAGUGGGGAAUAUUGGACAAUGGGCGCAAGCCUGAUCCAGCCAUACCGCGUGGGUGAAGAAGGCCUUCGGGUUGUAAAGCCCUUUUGUUGGGAAAGAAAAGCAGCAGGUUAAUACCCCGCUGUUCUGACGGUACCCAAAGAAUAAGCACCGGCUAACUUCGUG
RNAcentral lists this ribosomal RNA (490 nucleotides) under uncultured bacterium. RNAcentral's name for it is "partial 16S ribosomal RNA". It matches the Rfam family "Bacterial small subunit ribosomal RNA", at positions 30 to 507 of the family's 1533-position model. The record is from RNAcentral.